UAAGUACGUUUACUUGUAGUUUGUUUUAAUUAAAAUCGAUGUGUUUAAUCUGUAAUUGGAUUAAGUACAUACUGAAGCAUAGGCAUAACUGUCUUUUAAAACUUUUUGCACCAAUUUGCAAAACACAUAACACAUUAUACCCAAUAGAUCCAUCAAACCAAUUGGUAUCUAGUAAUACACAAAAUAUUGUAAACAUCUUGGUAUAAAUAACAGUGCCAGUACAAUUCGUUUUAAAGUACACUAUAAGAAUAUACCUAGAAUAAAAGCCAUGAAAAAACUACGCAUAACAAGGACAAUAAUAUAUGAACAUGAUAAACAACAGCAGAAUUCAGUUAGCUUUCAACAUUUACUAUUCAUGGUUUUGGUUGAAAACGAGAUAACAGAUAAGUGACAGUAAAAUGGUUUUUCUAUGAAAUGGAGACUCUGAUAAACUACAAAAUCGUUGUUGAAAUUUGAAUAAAUUAAAGUUUUGUUUUGUUACAGAGUGAUUUCCCUUGAUAUAAGACACAAAACGGAUGGGGAAAAAGAUGAUCAUGAUUUUCAAACAGAGUAGCCAUCCUAUAAUGAGUAAGUACAAGUAAGUAAAAGAUUUAAUAACUACGCCAAAAUAUACUACGCAACAAUUAUAAAUAUUAAAUUGAAGUGGUUUUUUUUUAAAAUGAAUUCAUAAUUAUUUGGAUAAUAUCAUACUUUACUUUAAAAAAAACCAUGAAAAACUAAGAUAUGUCUCUUGCAAAUACGUUCAACGUUAUGUUUAGCAUGUUCAAAGCCGAAACAAUAAGUAAUCUCGGGCAUAAUCAAUUUUCCAUUAUUCGGCUAUAGUUGAUGUAAUGUGACCACAUUUUGUAUCACAUGAUGAAGACCUGGGUGUAUAUUUAAAUUUGUCGUGAUUGGUUGCAAAAAUGAACGUAGAAUAUGUUGUGUUUGUAUUGAUUUUUAUUCUUUUUUUCUUUUUAAAUAAUCAGUAAAAGCAAUAAAUGACAUUUUGUUUUGUCCUUCAGGCUCACCAAAUUAUACAGAUGCCAAUAAACGUAUUAUACAUAUACAUGAUAAAGGGACGUUCUCAUUCUCUUUAUCAUAGUAUUUGUAUCUACCAUAAGCAACAUGAUGAGUUAACUGAUAUCUUCCAUUGUUUUAAGUAGGGUAAGCCAUGUUCAGUCUUUAGUAUUCUAAUUCGGAUUGUAUGAAAUGGUCGUCUACUGAUAAUUCACAAUAAUUUUCUUCAUGGGUAUUGAAUAUUACGUUGAUACCUUUGCCGCUUUUUUUUUACAAAAUAUAAGAAUAGAUUAUAAUGACAAUUUGUCCAUGUUAUCUUCACUUCUUAGAUGUAGACUAAUGUAAAUGUACCUGCCGUCUCUUUUUCAGCGGUUCACCGACAACUAACUAUAGAGGGAGUGUGAGACAGGUUACAUCAUUAUGUUAGAAAACAAGCCCAUACCAUAUAUUCGACAAUCAAAUGUAAGUACAGAAAAUCAGAGAAAUGGCGUUUGUUAAGUUUUAGGAAACAAGGUUUAACUUAAUUGUAGGAGCUAAUUUUACGAUAAAUUUAUUAAAAUAAAAACAAAAAAUACCCAACUGC
RNAcentral lists this long non-coding RNA (1579 nucleotides) under Mytilus galloprovincialis (Mediterranean mussel). Lineage: Eukaryota; Metazoa; Mollusca; Bivalvia; Mytilida; Mytilidae. The record is from RNAcentral.